AUGCGUCCCUCCUCGCGCUCGGCGCGACCGAGCUCAUAUGAGCUGCUGCGCAGCGAUGGGGGGGGUAGCAGCCGUGCGGGAGAACGGCAGGCGGGGCUGUUGUCCCAGCUGUGCCGGCCUUGCGGGGUCGUGCCCGGCUCUUCGCGGGACCUUCCGGCUGCGGUCCGUUGCCGUAAAGCGGCGCUUGUCUCACCUGUGCGCGUGGCUGUGAGGGGAGGUCGGGGCGCCUCCGUAACGCCUCCCGUAAGGCGCUCAGCUGAGGAGUGGCGUGGAGAGAAAGUGCUUGAUGGAGUGGUGACGGUGGUACCUCCGAGAAAGCCUGUGAACACUUCCGAACAAAAGAACAGCCAAUACCCCAUAUGUAAUAGCUCUGGGAGACUUGGCAGAAAGUUUCAAAAGAAAGUAACAUCACCUCAACGAAGUGAAGUACGGAGGAAAGAAGGAAGUCAGUUCUUCAAAUUUGCUCAUUUCUUUUAUUGCUUGAACACCCUGCACCUCAGCAACAACUACAAAAUGCACCACAGUACCACUGACUCUAGCCAUGCUUUUCCUUCUCACAGCAUUAUUGUCUAUCCUGUGUAAGCUACCAUAAACUCGAAAAAUAGCAAUCUUACUCUGAGCAGCUGCUAAAGCUGGACAAACACACCACUAGACUAUUCCAACCUAGCAGGCUGCUUCUCCCAUCUAACGCUCAAACUAUCCCAACACUGCUAAUAAGCUCCAAGCUAUCACCAAGAACCGCUGUGUUAUGACACACUGCUUCACAGCCCGCACAGGAAAGGAAGAAGACGAAAGAAAACAGCCUGCACUGCAAAACACGUUUGCAGUUCCCCUCGUGCGGCCCAUUCAAAACCUAUCCACGCAUCUCCAGCGUCGCUAAGCAUUGCAACAACCGCCUAUCCGUAUCUUCAUAGUUCUUCCGACGAGGAGAACGGGGUGCUGAACCUCACGUUGCAGGUCAUCCACUCCCCUGCCUACAAGAACGAGCGCACACGAGAUGAAAGGCCGGCAUUGACUCGGGGACAGCCGUCCUGCGCAGGGGCACAGGGUCCCGUCUGUCACCGCCAGCUGCGCGUCCUCCUCUCCCGGCUGCAGCUCCAGCUGCGGGGCGCUGGGUGUGGGGCCGACGGGGUGCAGCUCUCCGGUGAGCAGGACCAACUCGGCUCCCUCCCACGGCAGAGACACCUCCCGGCGCUGAGGAGCGUCGGAGCUGCUCCGCAUCCCCUCCCCCCAAGUCGGGCCUCGGCGGCGGCAUUCGCAGUCCCACAGCGCCACCUUGCGGCCGCUGCGCCGGGCCCGGGCCGGGCCGCUGCCUUCGGGAGGGAGAGCUCCGGGCGCUGCCGCGCGGGGCAGGCUCUGCGGAGGGAGGGGCCGCUGUGACCCCGUCCCCCGCCGGCGGGCUCGGAUCAAGCAGCGCGGCCGGCCGGAGCUCCCCCGUCCCGUCGGUAGCGCCGCGUGGUCGGUGUGCCUACGGGCUGCUCGCCCGCUCGUGUCCUUCUCCUGUCCCGCCUCGUCUGGGCGAGCCGUGCGGCAGUGAUGUCAAGGGGAUUUUCGCUAAGACCCAGAUAGUUCGGUGUUAGUU
Long non-coding RNA from Phasianus colchicus (ring-necked pheasant), 1582 nucleotides. Lineage: Eukaryota; Metazoa; Chordata; Aves; Galliformes; Phasianidae. The record is from Ensembl.